AAUAUUGGGACAUAUAAAAAAAAAGACAACUCUGUUCCAUAGAGUAGCUGUUGACAUUAUAGUUGCGCAGGCACUUUGUUGACUCUAGAGAACCUCGGGCCAAUCGCACAUCCCUGUGACGGCGACUUUGCAUUCGGAUGUCAUCCAUAUCAACUUUCGAUGCCAGUUUAUGCGCCUACCAUGGUGACCACGGGUAACGGGGAAUCAGGGUGCCAUUCCAUACAGUGACCCUGAGAAACGGCUACCACAUGCAAGGAAGGCAGCAGGCGCGCAAAUAACCCACUCCCGACGCUGGAUGGUAGUGA
This is a non-coding RNA of Pelobates cultripes (western spadefoot toad), 305 nucleotides long. The record is from the annotation of a GenBank genome assembly. Lineage: Eukaryota; Metazoa; Chordata; Amphibia; Anura; Pelobatidae.